Molecule: ribosomal RNA, 253 nt
Filed under: uncultured bacterium
Lineage: Bacteria
Description: partial 16S ribosomal RNA
Rfam family: Bacterial small subunit ribosomal RNA
Source: RNAcentral
UACGGGGGGGGCAAGCGUUGUUCGGAAUUACUGGGUGUAAAGGGCUCGUAGGCGGCCAACUAAGUCUGACGUGAAAUCCCCCGGCUUAACUGGGGAACUGCGUCAGAUACUGGUUGGCUUGAGUUCGGGAGAGGGACGUGGAAUUCCAGGUGUAGCGGUGAAAUGCGUAGAUAUCUGGAGGAACACCGGUGGCGAAGGCGGCGUCCUGGACCGACACUGACGCUGAGGAGCGAAAGCCAGGGGAGCAAACGGG